This 73-nucleotide transfer RNA is filed under the name Harpegnathos saltator (Jerdon's jumping ant). It matches the Rfam family "tRNA". From Rfam's summary of the family: Transfer RNA (tRNA) molecules are approximately 80 nucleotides in length. Their secondary structure includes four short double-helical elements and three loops (D, anti-codon, and T loops). Further hydrogen bonds mediate the characteristic L-shaped molecular structure. tRNAs have two regions of fundamental functional importance: the anti-codon, which is responsible for specific mRNA codon recognition, and the 3' end, to which the tRNAs corresponding amino acid is attached (by aminoacyl-tRNA synthetases). tRNAs cope with the degeneracy of the genetic code in two manners: having more than one tRNA (with a specific anti-codon) for a particular amino acid; and 'wobble' base-pairing, i.e. permitting non-standard base-pairing at the 3rd anti-codon position. Lineage: Eukaryota; Metazoa; Arthropoda; Insecta; Hymenoptera; Formicidae. The record is from Rfam by way of RNAcentral.
CGUCAGAUAGCUCAGUGGUCUAGAGCAGUCGGCGGGCAAGCGAAAGUCCCGGUUUCGAUUCCCGGUCUAGCGA